ACUCGUGACGGUGGAUGUCUUGGCUCCAGCAACGAUGAARAACGCAGCAAAAUGCGAUACGUAGUGCGAAUUGCARAACCCGUGAAUCAUCAAAUCUUUGAACGCAAGUUGCGCUCGCGGGCAAUCCUGCGAGCAUGUCUGUUUGAGUGUCCGCACAAAU
Molecule: ribosomal RNA, 160 nt
Filed under: Mastocarpus cristatus
Lineage: Eukaryota; Rhodophyta; Florideophyceae; Gigartinales; Phyllophoraceae
Description: 5.8S ribosomal RNA
Rfam family: 5.8S ribosomal RNA
About the family: 5.8S ribosomal RNA (5.8S rRNA) is a component of the large subunit of the eukaryotic ribosome. It is transcribed by RNA polymerase I as part of the 45S precursor that also contains 18S and 28S rRNA.
Source: RNAcentral